CUACGGGACGCAGCAGUCGAGGAAAUUUUACAAUGCUCGCAAGAGUGAUAGAAUGAGUCAGAGUGUUUCUCUUAGAGAAACUUUUUUCUGUUGUAAAAAGACAGAGGAAUAAGGACUGGGAAAGACCGGUGCCAGCCGCCGCGGUAAUACCGGCGGUCCAAGUCGCAUCCACAUUUAUUGGGUCUAAAACAUCCGUAGCUUGUUUUAUAAGUUUCUUGUGAAAUCCUACAUCUCAAGUGUAGGGCGUGCAAGAAAUACUAUAUUUACUAGAGACCGGAAGGCGUAAAGAGUAUGGUUGAGGUAGCGGUAAAAUGCGUUAAUCUCAAUUAGACUAACAAUUAGCGAAGGCACUUUACGAGUACGGAUCUGACAGUGAGGAAUGAAGGCCAGGGGCGCAAAAGGGAUUAGAUACCCCCGUAGUC
Molecule: ribosomal RNA, 422 nt
Filed under: uncultured archaeon
Lineage: Archaea
Description: partial 16S ribosomal RNA
Rfam family: Archaeal small subunit ribosomal RNA
Source: RNAcentral